GUCCCUGUAGUAUAUCGCACAUUACCCUGGUCUUGUAAACCAGAAAAGGGGGAAAACGUUCCNCCCAAGGACU
Molecule: transfer RNA, 73 nt
Filed under: Equus sp.
Lineage: Eukaryota; Metazoa; Chordata; Mammalia; Perissodactyla; Equidae
Description: tRNA-Thr
Source: RNAcentral